UAGGAAGUGGUGUAGAGGAAGCACCUGGAGUUUUGAUCUCUUGAGCAUGGGUUCAAAUCCCUUCUUCCUAG
RNAcentral lists this transfer RNA (71 nucleotides) under Brycon henni. RNAcentral's name for it is "tRNA-Gln". It matches the Rfam family "tRNA". Rfam says of the family: Transfer RNA (tRNA) molecules are approximately 80 nucleotides in length. Their secondary structure includes four short double-helical elements and three loops (D, anti-codon, and T loops). Further hydrogen bonds mediate the characteristic L-shaped molecular structure. tRNAs have two regions of fundamental functional importance: the anti-codon, which is responsible for specific mRNA codon recognition, and the 3' end, to which the tRNAs corresponding amino acid is attached (by aminoacyl-tRNA synthetases). tRNAs cope with the degeneracy of the genetic code in two manners: having more than one tRNA (with a specific anti-codon) for a particular amino acid; and 'wobble' base-pairing, i.e. permitting non-standard base-pairing at the 3rd anti-codon position. Lineage: Eukaryota; Metazoa; Chordata; Actinopteri; Characiformes; Bryconidae. The record is from RNAcentral.